Molecule: long non-coding RNA, 5677 nt
Filed under: Capsicum annuum
Lineage: Eukaryota; Viridiplantae; Streptophyta; Magnoliopsida; Solanales; Solanaceae
Description: long non-coding RNA (CANN_LNC018284)
Source: RNAcentral
UGUAUUAAAUACAACCUUGGCUUCGUGGCCCAAAUAAAUAAAUAAGAAUGUAAAUAACUAAAUAAAGACGACAAUAAGUAAAUAAACAAAUAACAAAUGAGCCUUUUUCUUUUUUGGUCUUGUAGCCGCUUCAAAUGUGGAACUUUAACCCAUUCUUCGCCCUUUGAUUCCUUGUAUUGUGCCAUAAGAUUGAUGUAAUCGAUUUUAUGUCCUCCAAAGGGUGGGCCUCCAUGGCCCGUAGCGUAAUGCAAAGAAAAGAGCUUAAUUGGACUCCCAAGAUAGUUCAUGCAAAAAAAAAAAAAAAUUAAUAUCUACCCGAAACGCCACAUGACAUAAUGCGGGAACAAAUGGCCCAAGGUUUCGAGAGUAAAAAAAAAAUGAUACAAAGCAAAACACAUCUUUUAACAUAAUAUAAACAUUAACUCACGCGACAAGGAAGCAGGUGAAAUUUAACUCGAAUAGAGGGAAUCGUCAAGUUUCAACUAAACCAACAUUAUCGGUAAUGCAAACAUUCCAAUUAUAGCAAUGAAGCUACACGGCAAAGAUUGAUCGAAGCCGACAUAGGUCGCCUACGUAUCCCGUUCUUGGAAAUUCAGGUCAAACGUAGUUCAUAGAUAAACUCAUAAUGGCCCUAAAAAUACUCUUAUCCACCUUACUAGGGUAUAAAUAAGUACUUCUAUGGAUGAUAUGACAUUUGCAUUGCGUUUGUCUUGAUAGAACAAAGUAUCAAAUGUCCAAUGGAGUCAUCGCCUUCCUAGUUAACCACCCCGGUUUCCUCUAGAUUAGGCUUCUUUGAUUCUCGAACUCUUUAACUCUUCUGUUGACUGUUCUAGGCUAUCAUUAUUUUGCUUCUUGACAUGACAUGAUAAAGGCAAGUUUUAAGUUACUGUUAUACGACGGGUGAUGAGUCAUGAGUGGAGUGGAGGUCCAAUUCAACAAUGUUUCCUCCAAUUAAUCUUCCAUGAUCCCGAUUGUCUUGGAAAAUUCUUCCCUUAUAUUUUUCUUGUUCCAUCCUCGAGACCAUCACUUACAGGGUUGAAAAAUGAUUGGUAGAGUCUAGUUUUACUACUAGUCAUUUUUCUUUUCCUGUAACGAAGCGAUAGUCAAGAAGGGGAUCUCUUAUUCAUUUUGAUCUGGUGAAGUAGGGUUAUUUUGUACCAACACAGAGUAGUUUCUAUUACCUGCAAAGUAAAAAUAACUCAAAUGAUGACGUGUUAGAUUCCGUUAGUAAUAAGUAAAGCAAGAUGAUAAGGUAGGAAGCAAACAUGUAGAGUUGUUUCUCAUCUCAUGCGAAUUGAUCCAUAAAGUAAUGAUGACUUGGGGAUUUUAAUGAACAGGAUAUUGCUCAAUGAUAUGGAUAGGUGGAAUUUAUUGGGAAGAUUCAACUCUUCUUCCUUCAAGAAAGUGGAGGACAACAUAGCUUUUGGAGAUAUGGGCCGGGGCGAAAGGCUGCCUAUGUAUCUCACGAAGGAGAAAUCAGGCCCUGCGUAGUUCGAACUAUAAUGGCAUUUUCUGAUUCUAAAGUCAACUUUCCUAAAAUGGUAGCGAUUAUUUUGGAAGUUUUGAGAAUAAGUACGGACUUUUUUGAGAAACUUGGGAGACUUGGAGUACUUUUGGUCGAACUUUUGUAUAGCCGGUAUGUUUCUGCCUAGAGAUGUUCUAUGAAAAAUGGGAUUGGAUCAUUUCACCUUUGAUUCGAAUCAACACAACACGUAUAAGCACAUAAACAGUUAUAUUACACAAGCAUAUUGUAAUAAAAGUGCAUCCUAAUUAUGUGACCCAUUUGAGCCAAGGGUUUAGGCCUAAGAAAUUUUGAAGAAAAUAUACGCCUUUUAAAAGAUAAUCCAUUAUCCCCAUAAACCUUCAUAGGUAUACCUAAAUGAUUUAAAUGUCUACAAAAGUUGUACAAAAGAGAUACAAUCUUUAGGGAAAGGGAAUAAUAUACCACGCAGGGGAUACUAAUUACUGAAUGCUUCUUCUAUCGGCGUUCGCGCUUUUAGCUUUGUCCACUCCUCAUUAUUGGAAACAUCCGUUAAUGAUCAAGCGAUUGAUGCAUCCUUAUACAAAAAUGAGUAAAACAAGUCUUCUCCCGACCCCAAAGGAUAAAGGAUUGGAUUAAACAAACAUAUAUUUAUUCAACACAUAAAUAUGAUUUGUCUGUAAUUGNNNNNNNNNNNNNGAAAGCUUUCUAAUGGGUCCAAUACCCCUUUCGAGUAUUAGGUCGUCCUAGGCUCAUGCCUAAAUAGGAUUUUGGUUUCAUUCUAUCCUAGGUGUCUAGAGUGGGUCUGAACACUGGUUCUCAAGACGACAACUUGAGUUUGAAAAUACGAAUUGCCAUUAGACGACUCACGUGCUAAUAAGCCGUUCGUAUUUCAACACAUUUUUGAAAUUGAACAACAGGGGCCGAGACAUCUACGAAACCCAAAACAGUCUAAAUAACGCAAGAAUAUGCCAUGAGAUACGAUAGUUAAACUUUACAUAAUCGAAACAUAUAAACACAUAGGCAGUUAAUUGAAAGACGAAAUCAUUUAGUUAGAACCUAGUUAAAGAUUCACAACUGAGUCGUCAUUUCUGUUUUGCGGAAUUUUUUACUUUUGAAAGUGUCGCCACUUAAUUUUGAAAAGGAAUUAAAAACCUUUAUAAAACACUUUAAACGAUCUAAAACAAAAAAAUCGUUUAAGUUAAGAAAUUCUAAGUAAGCGCUUCCUAUUAACGUUUUAGGAAGGUGUUAGGCACCUAAAACGUCCGCUAAAUUGCAAUUAUCCAAACUAUUUGAAAAUCGUCUUUUGAUUAACUUUGGAAAAUCGAUUUGUUGAAAAAGAAUUGGAUUAAGAAAAAGGAUUUCGCGAAAUCAAUUUUUUAGAGACUUAGUUAGGGAUUUAACUAGGUUCGCAAAGAAACAAGCAAACAAGUAAAUGAAAAGGGAAUAAGCGGGAAAGUAAUGAUUUAGGCUUUUAAGCCCAAACCACCCUGGUCUAAUCUAGUUGGGCUUUCGACCCAUUUGCACCUGUCUUGAUUCUAUGUUUUCGAGCCUUUAGCUCGAGUCUCGCUCCACCUGUAUUAAAUACAACCUUGGCUUCGUGGCCCGAAUAAAUAAAUAAGAAAGUAAAUAAAUAAAUAAAGACGAUAAUAAGUAAAUAAACAAAUAACAAAUGAGCCUUUUUUUUUUUUUUUGGUCUUGUAGCCGCUUCAAAUGUGGAACUUUAACCCAAUCUUCGCCCUUUGAUUGCAUGUAUUUAUAUUGUGCCAUAAGAUUGAUGUAAUCAAUUUUAUGUCCUCUAAAGGGUGGGCCUCCGUGGCCCAUUGCGUAAUGCAAAGAAAAAGAGCUCAAUUGGACUCCCAAGAUAGUUCAUGCAAAAAAAAAAAUAAAAAAAAUUAAUAUCUCUCCGAAACGCCACGUGACAUAAUGCGGGAACAAAUGGCCCAAGGUUUCGAGAGUUAAAAAAAACGAUACAAAGCAACACACAUCUUUUAACAUAAUAUAAACAUUAACUUACGUGACAAGGAAGCAGGUGAAAUUUAACUCUAAUAGAGGGAAUCGUCAAGUUUCAACUAAACCAACAUUAUCGGUAAUGCAAACAUUCCAAUUACAGCAAUGAAGCUACACGGCAAAGAUGGACAAGAUAAAUAAAUCGGGCAACAAAUAAGAGAAAUAUCACUGGAGAAGAAAACAAUAAGUGAAAACAAGAUUCUAAUAACAAAGAUGUACCAAAAUGAUAGAACUAGAUUAGGAAAAUUUCACCUUAUCAAACUUAUUAGCUUGCAACUAUGAUUCAACCAAAUGUAACUUCUCUUUAAUUAAGAAGGGGAAAAUAGGGAGAAGAAAGCAAAACAGUUCAGACAAGCAGAUUACUCAAUCAUAUAAUGAAUUAAAGGAUCAUAGCAUAAUGUAAUCAACUAAUAAUCUUGAAUCACCACAAAGCAACACCAAACUAGAACAUGGGAUUAGAUUUUCAACCGAGACUUGAAACGUGAGGAUACAGAUAAUGGGUCAAAUUUAAUUUUAUCGAUAAAUUAAAUAAACUGCAAUCCAAACUUUUGGAUAGGAACAAAAAUUUGAGGCAAAAGAAACAUUUAAUUAUGAAAAGAAAUAUUUUUGUUCACUUGACAUAAUGUUAAAGAAAGGAAACUUUCAGCUACAGGGGGUAUCACGAUAGGUUUUUACAGCAACUAAGCAACACAAACAUCAACUCAUUCGUAGAAGAACAAUAAAACUAGCAUUGUGACACUGGGAUACAAAGCAAUUAGUCAGAUACUAGCAACUUGGACCCUAAUGUUGAAAUACAAAAUAAUAUGUUGAUGACUUAACAAAAUCCACGUUGCAGUGAGUUUGAAGGCAAAACUGAGCACCAACUAUGAGACGAAAGCACUGAUUUAGUAGCUCAGCGGAUGAAAGGAAAAAAUCGUACAUAGAAUUUUCACCAAAAUCAAAGUUAACACCAAAUGAUGAUUGAGAUCCAACGAUAGAAAGUGUUCACAUAAACAGAGACCUAAAAAACAUAUUCAUGAUAUACAGAUGCCUAAAACAUUAACAGCUAACAAAUAACAUUACCAUGAGACAGUAAGCUUCAAACCAUCGAGUUGAAACAUACGAGAUUGACGAUUAAUCGAAAAGUUACGAUACAAACAGCGAUGCAACAAACAACUCAGCGACAAUCAUCACAAGUAAAUCCUAUAACCAUCAAAGCCAUCUACAGCAAGAAACCCAGCCUCAUUCAUCGACAAACAAAUAACGAUUUCUACGAAGAGAGAGGGAUGAAGAAGAAAACGAUAAGUUAAAAGGGGCGAGGGUAGGUUUACCUCCUUUGUGGCAGCAAAGCGGGACUCGAGCUAUCAGCAAAAUCGUCCCUAGUAGGAGAUUAUGUUGUCGACUUGGGAACUCUCAAUCAAUCGACUAGCUUCCCAGGAAGAAAAAAAAAAUGGAUGAGAAAACUUUUUUCAAAACAAACUCUUUACUUUCGGAGUUCCCAACCCCAAAUUUUGAACUAGCCUGAAGUUUUCUCCUUUAAACUCUUUCGAACCUUCGUCUCUAACCUUUCACCUUAGAGCUUCGACCCUCGAAUUUCCAAAGAAAAGAAAAAAAGAACCCCCAAAAUCUCCAACUUUUGUAGACUGCCAAGGAAUCGAACCCCUAGAAUUUUACCCAAACUUUCAAACCCUUCAAAGAAGAGAAAAAAUCUGAACCCCCCCUCUAAAACUGCGACCUGAUCUCUUCUUAUAUAGAAGAUGGAAACUCAAGGGUAUCUUAGGGAUUUUUCAAAGGGAAUUUGAAAUUCAAAACCCAUGGGAUCCCCCGAAUCGUCCCCGAUUUGGAUUUUUCCACAAAUUUGAAACCCCAUGGACCAAUCAAAUGCGGGAGGACAAAAUGUACCCAAGAACCAAUGAAAAUUUUCCAAAUAUGUACGAAUCCGUACGGGUUAUCCCAAAAUUUGCGGGAUUGGAUCGUUGGGAGGUAACACCUAGCUUGUUCUAGAAGGUUUCUUGGCGUCCUUUCAUACACAUCAGUGUAGAACGCGCGAGAGAGGAAAAAGCAAGUCGUUUGGAAUCAAUUUAGGGUUUAAAAUCGGGUCUAGAAUAGGUUGACAUUUGUUGGUGAUGUACGCCAUUUUUGGCUGCUUCUUGGCAUUGGAGACCCGUUCUUUGUUGAUUAAAGGAGAAAGGGGAAUUUUUGAUGGUG